Molecule: ribosomal RNA, 301 nt
Filed under: uncultured bacterium
Lineage: Bacteria
Description: partial 16S ribosomal RNA
Rfam family: Bacterial small subunit ribosomal RNA
Source: RNAcentral
CAGCCGCCGCGGGAAUACAGAGGGUGCAAGCGUUAAUCGGAAUUACUGGUCGUAAAGCGCGCGUAGGUGGUUUGUUAAGUUGGAUGUGAAAGCCCCGGGCUCAACCUGGGAACUGCAUCCAAAACUGGCAAGCUAGAGUACGGUAGAGGGUGGUGGAAUUUCCUGUGUAGCGGUGAAAUGCGUAGAUAUAGGAAGGAACACCAGUGGCGAAGGCGACCACCUGGACUGAUACUGACACUGAGGUGCGAAAGCGUGGGGAGCAAACAGGAUUAGAUACCCCCGUAGUCCCUGUCUCUUAUAA